UACAGAGGGUGCGAGCGUUAAUCGGAAUUACUGGGCGUAAAGGGUGCGUAGGCGGUUGUUUAAGUGUGAUGUGAAAGCCCCGGGCUUAACCUGGGAAGAGCAUCGCAAACUGAAUAGCUUGAGUAUAAGAGAGGGUGGCGGAAUUUCCGGUGUAGCGGUGAAAUGCGUAGAGAUCGGAAGGAACGUCGAUGGCGAAGGCAGCCACCUGGCUUAAUACUGACGCUGAGGCACGAAAGCGUGGGGAGCGAACAGG
RNAcentral lists this ribosomal RNA (253 nucleotides) under uncultured bacterium. Its description in RNAcentral is "partial 16S ribosomal RNA". It matches the Rfam family "Bacterial small subunit ribosomal RNA", at positions 524 to 776 of the family's 1533-position model. The record is from RNAcentral.